UAUUGGUCAAUGGGCGCGAGCCUGAACCAGCCAAGUAGCGUGAAGGAUGACGGCCCCAUGGGUUGUAAACUUCUUUUAUAUGGGUAUAAAGUUUGGUAUGCAUACCAUUUUGUAUGUACCAUAUGAAUAAGCAUCGGCUAACUCCGUGCCCGCAGCCGCGGUAAUACGGAGGAUCCGAGCGUUAUCCGGAUUUAUUGGGUUUAAAGGGAGCGUAGGCGGGUUGUUAAGUCAGUUGUGAAAGUUUGCGGCUCAACCGUAAAAUUGCAGUUGAUACUGGCAUCCUUGAGUACAGUAGAGGUAGGCGGAAUUCGUGGUGUAGCGGUGAAAUGCUUAGAUAUCACGAAGAACUCCGAUUGCGAAGGCAGCUCACUGGACUGGUCACUGACACUGAGGCUCGAAAGUGUGGGUAUCAAAC
This 415-nucleotide ribosomal RNA is filed under the name uncultured bacterium. RNAcentral's name for it is "bacterial SSU rRNA". It matches the Rfam family "Bacterial small subunit ribosomal RNA", at positions 362 to 773 of the family's 1533-position model. The record is from RNAcentral.